Vicia faba (fava bean) is the source of this 318-nucleotide non-coding RNA. Lineage: Eukaryota; Viridiplantae; Streptophyta; Magnoliopsida; Fabales; Fabaceae. The record is from the annotation of a GenBank genome assembly.
AUGAUCGAACUCAUGGGAGGAUUUAGCGAUCAUGAUCUGCAGAACAAGACUGUUGCUGAGGAGAACAUAUUCAAGUUUAAGGGAUACAGGGAUAUAGAAAUCCGAAAUCUUCCCAAGAGUAAAUGCAAAUUCAAAUGGGGAUACACAAGUAACUCUGGUCUGCUGGAGAUGAGUUGUAAACUCCGCUGGGGAACAGGCGCUCAGCGGGGAGAAGAAUGUAGAUUCCAUUGGGGAGACACACCUCUUGUGCUUUGUUUGUUGGAUGUUGGGGAUAGACAUCCACCAUCUGAUCACGAAUCUACAAGGGAGAAGGGAUAG